Molecule: ribosomal RNA, 499 nt
Filed under: uncultured Glomus
Lineage: Eukaryota; Fungi; Glomeromycota; Glomeromycetes; Glomerales; Glomeraceae
Description: SSU rRNA
Rfam family: Eukaryotic small subunit ribosomal RNA
Source: RNAcentral
CCAAUAGCGUAUAUUAAAGUUGUUGCAGUUAAAAAGCUCGUAGUUGAAUUUCGGGAUCGAAUUGUUGGUCGUGCUUCGGUACGCACUGGCAUUAUCGGUUUCUACCUUCUGAAGAACCGCGAUGUCAUUAAUUUGGUGUCGUGGGGAAUCAGGACUGUUACUUUGAAAAAAUUAGAGUGUUUAAAGCAGGCUUACGCUUGAAUACAUUAGCAUGGAAUAAUGAAAUAGGACGUUUGAUUCUAUUUUGUUGGUUUCUAGGAUCGACGUAAUGAUUAAUAGGGAUAGUUGGGGGCAUUAGUAUUCAAUUGUCAGAGGUGAAAUUCUUGGAUUUAUUGAAGACUAACUACUGCGAAAGCAUUUGCCAAGGAUGUUUUCAUUAAUCAAGAACGAAAGUUAGGGGAUCGAAGACGAUCAGAUACCGUCGUAGUCUUAACCAUAAACUAUGCCGACUAGGGAUCGGAUGAUGUUAAUUUUAUAAUGACUCAUUCGGCGCCUUACG